Molecule: transfer RNA, 68 nt
Filed under: Parocnus serus
Lineage: Eukaryota; Metazoa; Chordata; Mammalia; Pilosa; Megalonychidae
Description: tRNA-Trp
Source: RNAcentral
AGGGGUUUAGGAUAACAAAAGACCAAGAGCCUUCAAAGCCCUAAGCAAGUACGGAUACUUAACCCCUG